CAUCCAGCGCCCCCCCCCCAGUUUCUCCUGAGCCAGCGGUGCCCCAGCCCGGCCUCCAGUGGGCGUGUGCCGCUCUUCACGCUUCCCAGCCUCGGUUUCCCCUCCGGGUAGCCUUGCUGGUCGGAGCUUCUGCCGGAGAGCAUCUGACCACACCGCCCCGGGCACACGGACAUCCCUGCCAGCCCGCGUCCUCUAUGGUGAUUUCUGUAAAAACACCCAUAAGAAGAGGCCGGGCCUCGGACUGAGCGACGAGCGUUGUUAAUGCUCCGAUCCCGCUCCCUGGGGCCGCCCGAGUCCUGGCGCAGAAGCCUCAUCCGGAGGAAAAACUCCGGCCUUCCUCACCCUCCAGCUUCUCCUCCCGGAGCCGUCUGAGGAGCCUUUGGGACCCUGGACCACGCACCGCUUUUCUACCUGGAGGACCGGGAAAAGCUCUUGGCCUGUCGCACUGGUGAGAUUCUUCUCCCCCAGAAUUCUGGCCGUUCGUUCACCGGUACCCCGUGUCCCUACAUGACAGCGUGCGGAGACAGCCUGUGCCCAGUGCUCGCUGCUCUGGGAGGCCGGAGCUCAGUCAGUUUUGCUCACUGGUACCACCUGUCUUGGGCUCAUAGCCCCUAGGCCACCGCCCCUAUGCGAGGGCAUAUGGGGGCAGCCUGUGCCCUCUGAGUUCCUCGGCCCGCAGCCUCUGUGACGAUGGUCGUUGGCUGCCUUGCGCUGUUAUAACUCAUUGUGGAAAAAUGCACCCACCCCUCCCACUCCCCUCCCCAUCGCCCACCCCUCCCAUGCUCCUCCAGCCUCCGCUAAGCAGUUACGUCAUCACCUGUCCCUGGGGUCCUUUCCGCGACAUGCCCACCAGGAAAAGCUCACUCUCUGCCUGUCCCCUGCUACUAAUUCUUUUCCUUGUCUGUAAUUCUGUCUCUUUUUUUUU
This is a long non-coding RNA of Peromyscus leucopus (white-footed mouse), 925 nucleotides long. RefSeq lists it as uncharacterized. NCBI's taxonomy places the organism in Eukaryota, Metazoa, Chordata, Mammalia, Rodentia, Cricetidae. The record is from RefSeq and is a predicted model, not a curated record. The transcript is spliced from 3 exons.